Aethalodelphis obliquidens (Pacific white-sided dolphin) is the source of this 1940-nucleotide long non-coding RNA. RefSeq lists it as uncharacterized. The transcript is spliced from 3 exons. The record is from RefSeq and is a predicted model, not a curated record. NCBI's taxonomy places the organism in Eukaryota, Metazoa, Chordata, Mammalia, Artiodactyla, Delphinidae.
AAUAUUUUUACGGGAUUGUAUGAGGUAUGUAGUAUUUUGAGUGGGGAAGAGAAGACCAAAAACUUCAAAUAAAAGAGAAAGGAACUUGCCCUGAAGAAAAUCCCACAUACAGGAUGGCAUCUUACUUACCUAACAGCAAUAUAUUUUCAGUUAGGCAAUUCAUAAACAAUUUCCCUGAGUUUAGGGUAUAUAAAUGACACAGAGACACGAUAAUAAAAAGCCAAAAACAGAGUAAUGUUCCUUUUUAAAGAAUAGUUACAAGAGAUCAUUUCCAAAGUCAAAUGAAAUUAUUUAUCCUUUUCUCAUUUGUUUCACGUGACAGAGAGAGGCUAGAUAUUCACCAAACCCGUUCAUCCCUCUCAGAUGCACAACUAAACACCUCUCCAGGACCCUUUGCCUCUAGCUGGGUGGAACUGUGUGCUGUGCUGGUAAAUGUUUUAACACCUGGCUUUCCGGAUAGGAAAAGGCUUCAUCUGCAGUAUUUGCCUAUUUCCCUUGUGUAAAUCUUCCACAAAGGCCUGUUUCAAGCCAGCAACAUGAUGUCAUUGAAUGUGGAAUUGAGGAAAAAAGGCACAUAAGCAACUUUCGGAAGCUGGGACCAGCUGGUUACAGCACACCAUUGAGAUUGUGACUAGUUCUUACCAAGAUGUGUCACUUAACAGGGAAGGAACUGUGUGCAGGUGACCUUCUUUCUCCACUCUCACUCUCUCAGAACUUGGUGGCCUCAUGAGGAAGAUGGUUAGAGCUGCAAGAUGGAAGGAUGCUAAAUUCUCGAGUCUCUUCCUUGAAAAGUUUAUCAGAUGACAAAUGCCUCCUGAUACAAGCCUUUAUGCCAUACAAAGACUGCUAUGUGAAGUCCCCAGGAAAGUCUUCUAUGUAUCAAAAACACGUUGAAAUAUUAGAACUUCAAGAAAGCAACAGACUUCUCACCUUUCAGGGACUAGGAAGUGUGCAUUGAAUCAUGUGAUUGGAGAGCAGAGCAGAUGAGAUAGUAUUUUUACAAAGAUGACUAUUGGAUGAGAUCUGACAUGUUACCAGAGCCAGCAGGAUGGGCUGGAAAAAGUCAUGGGAGGCCACAAGGAAUCAAAGCCUCAAACAAUGUAGCAGAAGGAAGACGGAUCAGCUCACAUAACCAGGAAGGUGAGGAGUGUUGUUGGGAAGGACCAGAACAGGGAUCCGGUGCUGCCUGCGUUUUCUCUCAUCUGCUUUAUUUAGGAUUUUAUUUUUGGCUUUAUUCUCCCAAGCUGGGUGGUUUUACAAAAUGGAGCCAUGGUUAGUAUCAGUUUCUGGAUUCACAACUUCCCAACUUCUUAACAUGUGAAGAAAGGGCUUUCCCCUGUGACUUUCAUUAAAAAAAAAAAAAAAAAAUCAUAGGGAAGGACCCUAAUUGACCUGAGUUGGAUCAAUUUCCACCUUCUGGACCAGUCACUAAAGUUAAGAGGUUGGUUCCUGGAGUCACAUCAUAUACACACUUUAACAUUUACAAAUUCAAGUCUGAGAGUUAAAUGGGGGGGAAAAUAAGAGAGAGGGGGUGGUUGUGUGUGGGUGACACUGCCGGCCACUGAGUACAGUGGACGUGAGCCUGGAGAAGAGAAUCUGCUGUGCCCGAGGUCCCAGUGCUUGUCAUGGCCUGAGAACCUGGAGCAAAGGCCCAGAGGGUCAUUUCAUAUAACCUGACCCUGAAAUGCAAGCCGGCUACUUCAUCUGGUAGUCAGCUGAAGAAACAGCCAUCUGUUCCAAAACUGGGGGGACAUGUCACUGCAGCCUUCAUGAAAAAAAAGUAUACUGUUAUGGGUGUUUAAAGGAUUUUCAAGGACAAUUUUACCUGUAGUGAAUUUCUCCUCACAAGCUGACAUUAAAACCUACCCCCUGGGCUUCCCUGGUGGCGCAGUGGUUGAGAGUCCACCUGCCGAUGCGGGGGACAGGGGUUCGUGCCCUGG